Long non-coding RNA from Musa acuminata AAA Group (dessert banana), 835 nucleotides. RefSeq lists it as uncharacterized. The transcript is spliced from 2 exons. NCBI's taxonomy places the organism in Eukaryota, Viridiplantae, Streptophyta, Magnoliopsida, Zingiberales, Musaceae. The record is from RefSeq and is a predicted model, not a curated record.
UUCUACACUUAUGUUGGCAAAUGAGCAUUUCUAGAUCAAGUCGUACCUCUUAACAAUACAGGGGACCCACCGAAAAAGGGCCCCGCACCUCAGGUGUUUUACAGGCCGUAGUCACUGUUUCACGCGUCGAUUAAGCUGUCAAAGAAGUUCAUCGAGCGGAAAGGGGCAAAACUAGUCCAACCCGUCUCUCGCCGAAUCCCUUAUCGUCGCGCGUCAAAGACCUUCCUGAUCUCCUCGGAGCCAUCUCUCGGAGGGAGGAGGAUAGGGGGGGUCUUCUUUUCCUUCCCCCAACAGAAGUCUGUGUCUGUUACCAAGAUGUUCCGAUCAUCGAGCGCUACGAGGAUGUCGGACGAGCACCUCCUACCGCCGGCGGCUCGGAGAUCGUUACUGGAGCCGGAUGGCCUUCCCUCGUACGACCCCCACUCCGACAUCAGUAAGAAGCUGGUGCAGCGGGCGAGGCUUUCCGAGAACGCCGUGCACGUUAUCCCCGUCGUAGUCGUCCUCUGCGCCAUCAUCCUCUGGUUCUUCUCCGCCCACGAAUCGAGAAUAUGAACGGCGAGGACUGCUGCUAUUCGGAUGUGUGAUCCCUGGAAAUCGGACAAAGAAAAUUAGGCAGACGAUUUGGUGGCUUCCAAGUAAACUAAAGAAGACUUGAAAGAUUAGGAUAUGUUCCAUCCUUCAGAAGAAGAAGAAGAUUAGUCAUUAGUUUGCUUCCUAUACAGAAUCCUCUGAAUAAAUUCCACGUAUUGGACACCCUUCAACUAAUGAGGAUUUAGUUCUUGUGGAACUUACUUUGUAAAUACUUUAGAGGAAUACAGAACCCCAUUUUGUUUUC